AGGUUACCCAUUGAACAAUUUUUGCGAAUAUUUAUCGGAAUAUCUAGAAACAUUCUACAUCAAGAACACGUACAUAUGCAAGAGAAGGAAAAUGUAUUAGACAUAUCUUUGCAAAAUGAAAAUGACAAAUUAUGAAGAGGAAUUUUUUGUCGGACUACCUGAAACUGUUUGUUAUGAACAACAUAUAAAUAUGCAAAGAAACGAAAAUAUUCCAAAUAUAUCUUUGAUAGACAAUACUGGAAAAAAU
Long non-coding RNA from Harpegnathos saltator (Jerdon's jumping ant), 247 nucleotides. RefSeq lists it as uncharacterized. NCBI's taxonomy places the organism in Eukaryota, Metazoa, Arthropoda, Insecta, Hymenoptera, Formicidae. The transcript is spliced from 3 exons. The record is from RefSeq and is a predicted model, not a curated record.